GGCUCAGGACGAACGCUGGCGGCGUGCCUAAUACAUGCAAGUCGAACGGUCUUUCUAUGGAAGCUUGCUUCCACUGAGAAGAUAGUGGCGAACGGGUGAGUAACACGUGGGUAACCUGCCCAUAAGAGGGGGGAUAACAUCCGGAAACGGGUGCUAAUACCGCAUAGUUUUCUUGAUUGCAUGAUUGAGAAAGGAAAGACGGCCUUUGUGCUGUCGCUUAUGGAUGGACCCGCGGCGUAUUAGUUAGUUGGUGAGGUAACGGCUCACCAAGACGAUGAUACGUAGCCGACCUGAGAGGGUGAUCGGCCACAUUGGGACUGAGACACGGCCCAAACUCCUACGGGAGGCAGCAGUAGGGAAUCUUCCGCAAUGGACGAAAGUCUGACGGAGCAACGCCGCGUGAGUGAAAGAAGGUUUUCGGAUCGUAAAACUCUGUUGUCAGAGAAGAACAAGUUGGAGAGUAACUGCUCCAGCCUUGACGGUAUCUGACCAGAAAGCCACGGCUAACUACGUGCCAGCCGCCGC
RNAcentral lists this ribosomal RNA (525 nucleotides) under uncultured bacterium. RNAcentral's name for it is "bacterial SSU rRNA". It matches the Rfam family "Bacterial small subunit ribosomal RNA", at positions 21 to 518 of the family's 1533-position model. The record is from RNAcentral.